UACGAAGGGGGCUAGCGUUGUUCGGAAUUACUGGGCGUAAAGGGUGCGUAGGUGGUUUAGUACGUCAGGAGUGAAAUCCCCAGGCUCAACCUGGGAAUUGCUUUUGAGACUACUAGACUUGAGUACAGGAGAGGUGAGUGGAAUUCCCGGUGUAGAGGUAAAAUUCGUAGAUAUCGGGAGGAACACCAGUGGCGAAGGCGGCUCACUGGCCUGUAACUGACACUGAGGCACGAAAGCGUGGGGAGCAAACAGG
This 253-nucleotide ribosomal RNA is filed under the name uncultured bacterium. RNAcentral describes it as "partial 16S ribosomal RNA". It matches the Rfam family "Bacterial small subunit ribosomal RNA", at positions 524 to 776 of the family's 1533-position model. The record is from RNAcentral.